RNAcentral lists this ribosomal RNA (250 nucleotides) under uncultured bacterium. Its description in RNAcentral is "partial 16S ribosomal RNA". It matches the Rfam family "Bacterial small subunit ribosomal RNA", at positions 524 to 773 of the family's 1533-position model. The record is from RNAcentral.
UACGAACUGUGCGAACGUUAUUCGGAAUCACUGGGCUUAAAGGGUGCGUAGGCGGCGUUCCAAGUCAGGUGUGAAAUCCCCCAGCUCAACUGGGGAACAGCGCUUGAAACUAGAAUGCUCGAGCGAGAUAGGGGUGUGUGGAACUUCCGGUGGAGCGGUGAAAUGUGUAGAUAUCGGAAGGAACGCCAGCGGCGAAAGCGGCACACUGGGUCUUGUCUGACGCUGAGGCACGAAAGCUAGGGGAGUGAAC